Oryctolagus cuniculus (rabbit) is the source of this 1545-nucleotide long non-coding RNA. NCBI's taxonomy places the organism in Eukaryota, Metazoa, Chordata, Mammalia, Lagomorpha, Leporidae. The record is from Ensembl.
AUGAGGUUGGGCCUCACCUUUCCGCUAGCCCUUCUGUUCCUCCUCGGUCCAGCUGCAGGGAGCUUGGGGAAUUUGAGACAACUGUCCUCUACUCCACCCCAGACUUUGGCCUCAACUCCAAACUUACCGGUGACUACAGAUCCAGCUCUGACUCCUUGGACAGCUCCCUUGACAGCCUCUUGGGCAGAAGGCGGUCCUGUGUCCCAGUCGUUUUCCAAUUUCACGGGCUCUGUGGAUGACCGCGGCACCUGCCAGUGCUCCGUGUCCCUGCCAGACAAGGUCUUUCCCGUGGAAAGAGUGGAACGCUUGGAAUUCACAGCUCACAUCCUUUCCGAGAAGUUCGAGAAAGAGCUUUCUAAAGUGAAGGAAUAUGUCCAAUUAAUCAGUGUAUAUGAAAAGAAACUCUUCAACCUAACUGUCCGGAUUGAGAUCAUGGAAAAGGAUACUAUUUCUUACACUGAACUUGACUUUGAGCUGAUCAAGAUGGAAAUAAAGGAGAUGGAGAAACUGAUCAUACAGCUGAAGGAGAGUUUUGUGGGAAGCACACACAUUGUUGACCAGCUGGAAGUGGAGAUAAGGAAUAUGACUCUCCUGGUGGAGAAGCUCGAGACGCUAGAUGCAAACAAUGUCCUUGCCAUUCGCCGAGAAAUCUUGGCUCUGAAGAAGAAGCUGAAGGAAUGUGAGGCCUCGAGAGAUGAAAACCUUCAUGCCACUGUCCCUCCCCCUGCUCCAGGGAGCUGUGGUCACGGUGGUGUAUUGAACAUCAGCAAACCAUCUAUAGUUCAGCUCAACUGGCAAGGGUUUUCCUAUAAGUUUGGUGCCUGGGGUCGGGAUUAUUCUCCCCAGCACCCAGACCAAGGACUGUAUUGGGUGGCACCUUUAAAUACAGAUGCGAGAGUGUUGGAAUACUACAGAAUCUAUAACACACUGGAUGAUUUGCUACUGUAUAAACAUGCACGACAGUCUCGGAUUGCUUAUGGCCAAGGCAGUGGUACAGCUGUUUACAACAACAACAUGUAUGUCAACUGGUACAACACCGGAAACAUUGCCAGAGUUAACCUGACCACCAAUACAGUUGCUGUGACUCAAAAUCUCCCUGGUGCUGCUUAUAAUAACCGUUUUUCAUACGCUAAUGUUGCUUGGCAAGAUAUUGACAUUGCUGUGGAUGAGCAUGGAUUGUGGGUGAUUUAUUCAACUGAAGCCAGUACUGGUAACAUGGUGAUUAGCAAACUCAAUGACACCACACUUCAGGUGCUAAAUACUUGGUCUACCAAGCAGUAUAAACCAUCUGUUUCUAAUGCCUUCAUGGUUUGUGGGGUUCUAUAUGCCACCCGUACUCUGAACACCAGAGCCGAAGAGAUUUUUUACUACUAUGACACAAACACAGAAAAAGAGGGCCAGCUUCAGAUUCCAAUGCAUAAGGUACAGGAAAGAGUGCAGAGCAUUAACUAUCACCCUUUUGAGCAAAAACUUUUCGUUUAUAAUGAUGGUUACCUCCUGACUUAUGAUCUUAUUUUCUUACAAGAACCCCAGAAAACUGUUUAG